Arachis stenosperma is the source of this 308-nucleotide long non-coding RNA. RefSeq lists it as uncharacterized. NCBI's taxonomy places the organism in Eukaryota, Viridiplantae, Streptophyta, Magnoliopsida, Fabales, Fabaceae. The record is from RefSeq and is a predicted model, not a curated record. The transcript has 3 exons.
CCUAUUUGGUUGCAUGUCAUUGUUUUCAUGUGUGUUUUAUGUAGAUAUUAGAUGUGCUUCUCUUGUAGGUUUAACUCUAAUGUUAUGUUUUGUGAAGCUGUUUUAGUUUCAAUAUUUGGAGAUUGAUUUCCCCAUCAUCAGUCUUCAUUAGAGCUUGAUCAUUAUUUGUAUCCCGGAUAAAGGUGAUGAAUCAGGGCCAAUCAUACUUUAUCUGGAUUUUUAUAUGCGAUAUUUGAAGCAGCAAGCAUCUUUGGCAAAUAGAUCGUUAUCCAAGUAUAAUUUUUUUAAUACAUAUUUCUACAAGAAGC